UACGAAGGGGGCUAGCGUUGCUCGGAUUCACUGGGCGUAAAGGGUGCGCAGGCGGCCAAGUGUGUCAGGUGUGAAAUCCCGAGGCUUAACCUCGGAACUGCGCCUGAAACUACUUGGCUAGAGUACUGGAGAGGGUAACGGAAUUCACGGUGUAGCAGUGAAAUGCGUAGAUAUCGUGAGGAACACCAGAGGCGAAGGCGGUUACCUGGACAGUUACUGACGCUCAGGCACGAAAGCGUGGGGAGCAAAAGGG
This 253-nucleotide ribosomal RNA is filed under the name uncultured bacterium. RNAcentral describes it as "partial 16S ribosomal RNA". It matches the Rfam family "Bacterial small subunit ribosomal RNA", at positions 524 to 776 of the family's 1533-position model. The record is from RNAcentral.